CCAGUCCUUCUUGUCCUGGAGUUUUGGGCUGCUUACAGCAGUUACAUAAUAGCAGUUUCCCUGAAUUGGAUGUGAAGUUUUCCCUAAGAACUCUCCAUGGAGCGGGAAAAAUGAGAAAUGGAAGCAAAUUAGUAAGACCAUCUGCGGAGCUCGUAUUUUCUCCAUCCUUGGAAUCCCCAUCAGCUCUGGAUGUCACCCUACAUCAUCAGCUCAGAGACUAAAGCAUCUUCUCCCCUGACGCUGGGAACAGCUGGGGUUAGUGAGCUGGAACGCAAGCAGAUCAAUACCACCUGCGCUUGAGGACAUUGCUGCUGCUGCUGCUGCUAAGUCACUUCAGUCGUGUCCGACUCUGUGUGACCCCAUAGACAGCAGCCCACCAGGCUCCCCCAUCCCUGGGAUUCUCCAGGCAAGAACACUGAAGUAGGUUGCCAUUUCCUUCUCCAAUGCAUGAAAGUGAAAAGUGAAAGGGAAGUCGCUCAGUCAUGUCCGACUCUUUGAGACCCCAUGGACUGCAGCCCACCCGGCUCCUCCGUCCAUGGGAUUUUCCAGGCAAGAGUACUGGAGUGGGGUGCCAUCACCUUCUCCAGAGGAC
Molecule: long non-coding RNA, 592 nt
Filed under: Bos indicus x Bos taurus (hybrid cattle)
Lineage: Eukaryota; Metazoa; Chordata; Mammalia; Artiodactyla; Bovidae
Description: lncRNA (ENSBIXG00000002305.1)
Source: RNAcentral